GAAAUGCGAUACGUAAUGUGAAUUGCAGAAUUCGUGAAUCAUCGAAACUUUGAACGCAAAUUGCGCUCUCGAUUCACGUCGGGAGCAUGCCUGCUUGAGUGUCAGUAACCUCACCUCACACGCCACGCGCGUGUGGACGAUGGACGCCUUACUCUGGGGCUGCGUGCCCUCGUCGUCCGAAGGAUAGCUCUCUCGCGGCACCGCGCAUCCACACAAACACACACGCACACACACACACACAUCGCGCACUCAACCUUUGACCUCAAGUCAGGUAGGAGGACCCGCUGAAUUUAA
RNAcentral lists this unclassified non-coding RNA (294 nucleotides) under uncultured Mortierella. RNAcentral's name for it is "sequence contains ITS1". The stretch from base 1 to 104 matches the Rfam family "5.8S ribosomal RNA", at positions 50 to 154 of the family's 154-position model. Lineage: Eukaryota; Fungi; Mortierellomycota; Mortierellomycetes; Mortierellales; Mortierellaceae. The record is from RNAcentral.